RNAcentral lists this long non-coding RNA (205 nucleotides) under Mytilus galloprovincialis (Mediterranean mussel). Lineage: Eukaryota; Metazoa; Mollusca; Bivalvia; Mytilida; Mytilidae. The record is from RNAcentral.
GGGAAACUGAUUAUCUUGGUGAAUUUUAUAAGAACAAGGACCAUUACUUGGCACCAUAUUAUCAGACCACAACAAAAUUCUAACUUGAUCUCUAACUUGUCAUGAUACAUUUUGCAACACUAUAUAUACCAAUUAUAAAAUCAAUAUCUUCCAGAAAGAAUAAAAAAUGUGCGGAAACCUGAAUAUUUGAAUGAAUUUAUUAAGU